GUGGGAGGGGGCUUGCCCCCGAUAGCAGUGUGUCAGUCAGCCUAUCUGUAGCUGAUACACCGCAAUCGGGGGCAAGCCCCCUCCCAC
RNAcentral lists this unclassified non-coding RNA (87 nucleotides) under Pseudomonas orientalis. Lineage: Bacteria; Pseudomonadati; Pseudomonadota; Gammaproteobacteria; Pseudomonadales; Pseudomonadaceae. The record is from RNAcentral.